Molecule: ribosomal RNA, 254 nt
Filed under: uncultured bacterium
Lineage: Bacteria
Description: partial 16S ribosomal RNA
Rfam family: Bacterial small subunit ribosomal RNA
Source: RNAcentral
UACGUAGGGUGCGAGCGUUAAUCGGAAUUACUGGGCGUAAAGCGUGCGCAGGCGGUCUGUUAAGACCGAUGUGAAAUCCCCGGGCUUAACCUGGGAACUGCAUUGGUGACUGGCAGGCUUUGAGUGUGGCAGAGGGAGGUAGAAUUCCACGUGUAGCAGUGAAAUGCGUAGAGAUGUGGAGGAAAACCGGUGGCGAAGGCGGCAUCCUGGACCGGCAUUGACGCUGAGGCGCGAAAGCCAGGGGAGCAAACGGG